UACAGAGGUGCCGAGCGUUAGGCGGAAUCACUGGGCUUAAAGCGUGUGUAGGCGGGUUCGUAAGUACCUUGUGAAAUCCCAUGGCUCAACCAUGGAACUGCUUGGUAUACUGCGAAUCUUGAGCCACUUAGGGGCUACCGGAACAAAUGGUGGAGCGGUGAAAUGCGUAGAUAUCAUUUGGAACGCCAAUGGUGAAAACAGGUAGCUGGGAGUGUGCUGACGCUGAGACACGAAAGCCAGGGGAGCGAACGGG
RNAcentral lists this ribosomal RNA (253 nucleotides) under uncultured bacterium. Its description in RNAcentral is "partial 16S ribosomal RNA". It matches the Rfam family "Bacterial small subunit ribosomal RNA", at positions 524 to 776 of the family's 1533-position model. The record is from RNAcentral.